GUUUUCAAGACGGGUCGUUUUAAAACCAUUAAGUCAACAUCCUAAGCGUGGAAGAGCCGAACUAAGCGAGUCUGAAGAAGACAAGACGCAAAAUGCAAGCAUUGUACGCCAAACGACCCCAGAGCACCCAGUCAGCCUUGCCCGAGAGCACACACUGCGAAUCCUCAGUCCCACCCACUGUAUCGCCCCAGAGCUAUAACACAGCCAAAGCUGCUACCUUCUCUCGGGGUUUUGUCCAGCAAGCGAAACUGAUGUUGACCUGCGAACGAAAAAGUGCAUCACCCACAGCAAAGAUGAGAUAUCCGCCGGCCUUGCGGUCCGGACAAACACCAGCCCCUCACUGCGCUUGACUGAUUUUCCGCCUACAUAGCUGGUGUCAAACGUUUCCCUUUCAACAAUUUCACGCACUGUUUAACUCUCUUUUCAAAGUUCUUUUCAUCUUUCCCUCACGGUACUUGUUCGCUAUCGGUCUCUCGCCAAUAUUUAGCCUUAGAUGAAAUUUACCACCCAUUUUGAGCUGCAUUCCCAAACAACUCGACUCUUUGAAAACGUAUCACAUAGUAACAUCAGCCGAGUCAAAGACGGGAUUCUCACCCUCUAUGAUACCCUGUUCCAAAGGAUUUAUACCCGGCCUGCCACCGAAAACGCUUCUUUAAACUACAACUCGGACUGGUAAACCAGC
Molecule: ribosomal RNA, 682 nt
Filed under: Mortierella sp. JCM 28527
Lineage: Eukaryota; Fungi; Mortierellomycota; Mortierellomycetes; Mortierellales; Mortierellaceae
Description: partial 28S ribosomal RNA
Source: RNAcentral